UUAAAAUGUGAAUGAAUUCAAUUCUUUAAGCUAGUAUCAUUCCAAACACAUUUUACACAAGACCUUAUUUAUAAUUGAACAAGUCUUUUUUUAAUAUUUUUAUAUGCUCCCUAAACAACAAGAGAGAAAGUAGGAGAGAACAAGUCAUUUUUAAAUUAUUUCUUCUUUCUGUGAUUAUUGUUUUUCAGGUUCUGAUUGAACAGUUGACAUCUUCUCCUUUGAACAAUUUGAUUUUCAUGAUAUACUUCGGAUUAGUUAUUGAAGGUUGGUCAUUUUUAAAUAUAUAAUGUUUUCAUUUAAUUUUAGGAACAUGGAUAUAUACCAAGUCAAAUACAUAUGUAAAGUAUGGACAAAUAAAAUAAUUAUCAUCAGUGUCAAAAAUAGGGUACUCAAAGCAAAGACAUUCCUAUUCAACUAGUUUUGUUUUUGUAUAAGCCAAAAAGCCUAUUCAAAUAGUGAUUCAUUUAUUUAUUAAUAUUAUAAACAAACUGAACAAGUUAUCAAAAAUGAUAUGCU
Molecule: long non-coding RNA, 516 nt
Filed under: Trifolium pratense (red clover)
Lineage: Eukaryota; Viridiplantae; Streptophyta; Magnoliopsida; Fabales; Fabaceae
Description: long non-coding RNA (TPRA_LNC011054)
Source: RNAcentral